RNAcentral lists this ribosomal RNA (500 nucleotides) under uncultured bacterium. RNAcentral describes it as "partial 16S ribosomal RNA". It matches the Rfam family "Bacterial small subunit ribosomal RNA", at positions 30 to 523 of the family's 1533-position model. The record is from RNAcentral.
AUUGAACGCUGGCGGAAUGCCUUACACAUGCAAGUCGAACGGCAGCACGGACUUCGGUCUGGUGGCGAGUGGCGAACGGGUGAGUAAUGUAUCGGAACGUGCCCAGUCGUGGAGGAUAACGUAGUGAAAAUUACGCUAAUACCGCAUACGAUCUAUGGAUGAAAGCGGGGGAUCGCAAGACCUCGCGCGAUUGGAGCGGCCGAUAUCAGAUUAGGUAGUUGGUGGGGUAAAGGCCCACCAAGCCAACGAUCUGUAGCUGGUCUGAGAGGACGACCAGCCACAGUGGAACUGAGACACGGUCCAGACUCCUACGGGAGGCAGCAGUAGGGAAUUUUGGACAAUGGGCGAAAGCCUGAUCCAGCCAUUCCGCGUGCAGGAUGAAGGCCCUCGGGUUGUAAACUGCUUUUGUACAGAACGAAAAGGUUUCUACUAAUACUAGGAGCUCAUGACGGUACUGUAAGAAUAAGCACCGGCUAACUACGUGCCAGCAGCCGCCGUAA